ACUUGCUUCAGCAACACAAUACUUAAAUUUGAAAAAUACAGAGAAGAUCAUCAUGACCCCUGCCAAGGAUGGUAUGCAAAUUCAUGGAAUGGUCAGUAUUUUU
Phodopus roborovskii (desert hamster) is the source of this 103-nucleotide small nuclear RNA. The record is from RefSeq and is a predicted model, not a curated record. NCBI's taxonomy places the organism in Eukaryota, Metazoa, Chordata, Mammalia, Rodentia, Cricetidae.